GCAAACUUGGUCAUUUAGAGGAAGUAAAAGUCGUAACAAGGUUUCCGUAGGUGAACCUGCGGAAGGAUCAUUACUGAGAGGGGUUACGCACCCCUUAGAGGGCGGUCUCCGACCCUCGGUUCUCAACCCUUGACUACUUACGCUCUGUUGCUUUGGCGAGCCUCGGGGUCAUACUCGUGCCGGUUCGCCGGCGAGCGUUCGUCAAAAGCCACCUCUAAAAUUCUUUAUUUCGUAAAGUCAGAGUCUUAGAAAAGAAGUGAAAAACUUUCAACAACGGAUCUCUUGGUUCUGGCAUCGAUGAAGAACGCAGC
Molecule: unclassified non-coding RNA, 311 nt
Filed under: uncultured fungus
Lineage: Eukaryota; Fungi
Description: partial contains small subunit ribosomal RNA, internal transcribed spacer 1, and 5.8S ribosomal RNA
Rfam family: Eukaryotic small subunit ribosomal RNA (bases 1-73)
Source: RNAcentral